UACGUAGGGUGCGAGCGUUGUCCGGAAUUAUUGGGCGUAAAGGGCUCGUAGGCGGUUUGUCGCGUCGGGAGUGAAAACCAGGUGCUUAACACCUGGCUUGCUUUCGAUACGGGCAGACUAGAGGUAUGCAGGGGAGAACGGAAUUCCUGGUGUAGCGGUGAAAUGCGCAGAUAUCAGGAGGAACACCGGUGGCGAAGGCGGCCUGCUGGGCUAUGGCUGACACUGAGGCGCGACAGCGUGGGGAGCAAACAGG
Molecule: ribosomal RNA, 253 nt
Filed under: uncultured bacterium
Lineage: Bacteria
Description: partial 16S ribosomal RNA
Rfam family: Bacterial small subunit ribosomal RNA
Source: RNAcentral